Molecule: ribosomal RNA, 254 nt
Filed under: uncultured bacterium
Lineage: Bacteria
Description: partial 16S ribosomal RNA
Rfam family: Bacterial small subunit ribosomal RNA
Source: RNAcentral
CACGUAGGGGGCAAGCGUUGUCCGGAUUUAUUGGGCGUAAAGAGCUCGUAGGCGGUUCGGUAAGUCGGGUGUGAAACCUCCAGGCUCAACCUGGAGACGCCACCCGAUACUGCUGUGACUAGAGUCCGGUAGGGGAGCGUGGAAUUCCUGGUGUAGCGGUGAAAUGCGCAGAUAUCAGGAGGAACACCGGUGGCGAAGGCAGCUCGCUGGGACGGUAUUGACGCUAAGGCGCGAAAGCGUGGGGAGCAAACAGG